RNAcentral lists this ribosomal RNA (252 nucleotides) under uncultured bacterium. Its description in RNAcentral is "partial 16S ribosomal RNA". It matches the Rfam family "Bacterial small subunit ribosomal RNA", at positions 525 to 776 of the family's 1533-position model. The record is from RNAcentral.
ACGGAGGGGGCUAGCGUUGUUCGGAAUUACUGGGCGUAAAGCGCACGUAGGCGGCUUUGUAAGUUAGAGGUGAAAGCCCAGAGCUCAACUCUGGAACUGCCUUUAAGACUGCAUCGCUUGAAUCAUGGAGAGGUUAGUGGAAUUCCGAGUGUAGAGGUGAAAUUCGUAGAUAUUCGGAAGAACACCAGUGGCGAAGGCGACUAACUGGACAUGUAUUGACGCUGAGGUGCGAAAGCGUGGGGAGCAAACAGG